GGAAUCUAGCUCCAGCAAAAUUAUUGGGAGGCCUUCAGUAUUUUUCAAGUAAAAUGAGCAAAGAAGAUAGGAAGGUGGAGCUCUUAUCAAACAGUGAGAGGGACGAAAAGAGAUGCAUCUUCAGUUGCUUUGAAUUUAUGAAUUUAUAUAUCUUGGCUUGUUGAUUCUUAUGUCCUUUGAAGUUUUACUAUGCAUCUAUUUAUAUUUUAAGAGCAAAAUUGCCUUAGUGUUGCUUGAUAUAUGUUGAUCAACUGAAUUGAACAUUGAUUGUUAAGUUUCCUAGUCAAAGUAAAAUAUUUUUCUUGUUU
Molecule: long non-coding RNA, 308 nt
Organism: Solanum stenotomum
Lineage: Eukaryota; Viridiplantae; Streptophyta; Magnoliopsida; Solanales; Solanaceae
Exons: 2
Source: RefSeq, a predicted model, not a curated record